This 1009-nucleotide long non-coding RNA is filed under the name Monodelphis domestica (gray short-tailed opossum). Its description in RNAcentral is "lncRNA (ENSMODG00000049002.1)". Lineage: Eukaryota; Metazoa; Chordata; Mammalia; Didelphimorphia; Didelphidae. The record is from RNAcentral.
GCCUGUUUGCCUCAGUUUCUCUAUCUAUAAAAUAGGCUGUAUCUUUGCUAAGAAAAUCUCAAAUGGGGUCAUGAAGAGAUGGAUGAGGUUGAGAACAGCUGAACAACAACCCCUCCCCAAGCACAACCCGGCCCCAUUAGAAUGUAAAAUACCUGAAGGGACUGGGAUUGUUUUUGCCUUUGUUUGAAUCUCCAACACUUAGCCCAGUGCCUGUACUUCUCAGCAAACAGAAUGCUUGCUGACUGGGCUUGACUAGAAACACUAGAUUUUCUGCCCAAUUCAAGCAUUUGUUGGCUUUCUACAAAAGCCAUGCUACUUUGCUCAGGAUCAUCUUUUUUCUAGAGCAAAUAACAAAGACUAAUAGAUCAUCAGUUGUGAAAAAAAGCAGCCAUCCACUCCCCCAAAUCUCAGACAUGUAGGAUCCACAUUUUAACUGGCUGGGAGAUCCCAGUGGAAUGAGAAUGAUGGUGCUGCCCACUGAUGAAGUUGCACACGCCUAAGGAAGAGAUCUCCUUAAAGCAGAAGCCAUCAACAGCCCAGGAGCUUAUGUUCCGGAUACCUGAGAUCAUCUUUCAAGGUGAGACAACAGGCAAGUAUGUAUCCUGCAAAGGAGAAGGCACCCCAGACCUGUGACAAACUUCAAGCAACACCAAAGGAUGGAAGAUACAUGGACAAUUGGAAAGAACUUUGAAUCAAAGACAUUAUGGGGAAUGAACUUCAGGAAAAAUGGGUCACAUAAGAUUAAUCGCUGAUCACAGAACUGAAGGGUAGGGUGACUUUAGAAGAUAAGACCCACUGGGCCUUAGGAAUAUUGAAAGAGAGAAUUGCAAAAGAGAAAGGAAAGGGAUAGCACACAUCAGAAAGGCUAGAAGUCCCCAAAACAAAGUCCAUAGAUUUCACAGUUAAAGUAAGGACUAGCUUUCUCUGUCUGAGAAAGUAGACAGGUGUAAGACAAACUCUUUGCUUUUAACAAAUUUGUUAUUUAGAUAAAGAAAAUCAGAGUUUUAUU